UAAUACCGGCGGUCCAAGUCGUAUCCACAUUUAUUGGGUCUAAAACAUUCGUAGCUUGUUCUGUAAGUUUCUUGUGAAAUCUGAUGUCUCAAGCAUCAGGCGUGCAAGAAAUACUGCAGUACUAGAGACCGGAAGACGUAAGGAGUACGAUUGAGGUAGCGGUAAAAUGCAUUAAUCUUGAUCGGACUAACAAUGGCGAAGGCACCUUACGAGUACGGAUCUGACAGUGAGGGAUGAAGGCUAGGGUCGCGAAAGGGAUUAGAUACCCCUGUAGUCCUAGCAGUAAACACUGUUCACUAAACAUUAGUGCCUCCUCGAGAGGCGUUAGUGCUGUAGGGAAGCCGAAGAGUGAACUACCUGGGAAGUAUAGUCGCAAGGCCG
RNAcentral lists this ribosomal RNA (381 nucleotides) under uncultured euryarchaeote. RNAcentral's name for it is "bacterial SSU rRNA". It matches the Rfam family "Archaeal small subunit ribosomal RNA", at positions 471 to 851 of the family's 1478-position model. The record is from RNAcentral. Lineage: Archaea; Methanobacteriati; Methanobacteriota.